RNAcentral lists this unclassified non-coding RNA (401 nucleotides) under Hevea brasiliensis (rubber tree). The record is from RNAcentral. Lineage: Eukaryota; Viridiplantae; Streptophyta; Magnoliopsida; Malpighiales; Euphorbiaceae.
UAGGAAGCAAAUCAAAGCCAUGCACGAAGUUCUUCAGCACUGCUGGAUGCCCCUUUGGUGAGAGCUGUCAUUUCCUUCAUUACGUCCCUGGUGGCUAUAGUGCAGCGACCCAGAUGAUGAAAUUGACACCAGCUCCAUCUUUGAGAAAUGCUGCAGCACCGCCUUAUUCCAAUGGAAAUGCUCCUUCUUUGAAAACCAAACUUUGCAACAGAUUCAGCACGGCGGAGGGAUGCAAAUUUGGAGACAAAUGCAAUUAUGCUCAUGGGGAGUGGGAACUUGGAAAGCCUACCAUUCCUUCACAAGAGGAUCCACGUGCAAUGGGGUUUGGAUCUAUGCCAGGUCGUUUUGGUGGUGGGCGGGUGGAAUCUGCUGCUAGUUUUGGUACAUCAGCCACUGCAAAG